Molecule: transfer RNA, 74 nt
Filed under: Candidatus Woesearchaeota archaeon
Lineage: Archaea; Nanobdellati; Candidatus Woesearchaeota
Description: tRNA-Pro
Rfam family: tRNA
About the family: Transfer RNA (tRNA) molecules are approximately 80 nucleotides in length. Their secondary structure includes four short double-helical elements and three loops (D, anti-codon, and T loops).
Source: RNAcentral
GGUGCCGUAGUGUAGCUUGGUUAUCACAUAAGGCUGGGGGCCUUAUAACCCCGAUUCAAAUUCGGGCGGUGCCA